RNAcentral lists this ribosomal RNA (782 nucleotides) under uncultured bacterium. Its description in RNAcentral is "bacterial SSU rRNA". It matches the Rfam family "Bacterial small subunit ribosomal RNA", at positions 546 to 1352 of the family's 1533-position model. The record is from RNAcentral.
CCGAAUUAUUGGGUUAAGGCGCGUCGGCGCGCUUUCAAGUCCGAGUGAAUUCUCUGUGUCUAAGCUGGGAAUUGCUUGGAACUGAGUCUGAGUCAGGAGAGUAUCGGAAUUCCUGGGUAGCGGUGAAUGCGUAGAUUUGAGAGGAACUCCGUGAGCGAGGGCGGCUAUCUGAUCAGAUACUGACGUGAGGCCGGAAGUUGGGGAGCAAACCAGGAUAGAUACCUGGUAGUCCCCGGUUAACGAUGAAUUCUAGGUUAGAGGGUUGACUCCUUUGUGCCGCAGUUAACCCAUUAAGUUUCCACUUGGGAAGUACGUCGGCAAGUUAGAAUUCAAAGGAAUUGACCGGGGACCCGCACAAGCAGUGGAGUAUGUGGUUUUAUUUGAAAGCAACCGCGAAGAACCUUACCCGAUGCUGGACAUCAGUAUAGAAUACAGGAGAAACAGUGUAGUCUCUCGGGACAUUAUACCAGUUGGUCCAUGUUGGUCUUCAGCUCGUUCGUAAGAUGUUGGGUUAAGUCCCGCAACAAGCGCAACCCUAGUCAUAAGUAGCCAGCAGUAGAGUUGGGCACUUUAGUGAGACUGCCGGUGAGAAAUUGGAGGAAAGUGGGGGAGACGUCAAAUCAUCAUGCCCCUUAUGUCCUGGGCUACACACGUACUACAAUGGCUAUUACCGAAGGCAGGGAAGGAGUAAUCCGGAACGAAUUCCCACAAAAAGCUCCCAGUUCGGAUUUUGUGGCUGAAACCCGCCCACAUGAAAGUGGAAGGCUAGUUAAGCAGGUCAA